CCUACGUGAGGCAGCAGUGGGGAAUAUUGGGCAAUGGGCGCAAGCCUGACCCAGCAACGCCGCGUGAAGGAAGAAGGCUUUCGGGUUGUAAACUUCUUUUCUCAGGGACGAAGCAAGUGACGGUACCUGAGGAAUAAGCCACGGCUAACUACGUGCCAGCAGCCGCGGUAAUACGUAGGCGGCAAGCGUUAUCCGGAUUUACUGGGUGUAAAGGGCGUGUAGGCGGGACUGCAAGUCAGAUGUGAAAACCACGGGCUCAACCUGUGGCCUGCAUUUGAAACUGUAGUUCUUGAGUACUGGAGAGGCAGACGGAAUGCGUGGUGUAGCGGUGAAAUGCGUAGAUAUUAGGAGGAACACCAGUGGCGAAGGCGGUCUGCUGGACAGCAACUGACGCUGAGGCGCGAAAGCGUGGGGAGCGAACAGGAUUAGAUACCCGGGUAGUC
RNAcentral lists this ribosomal RNA (443 nucleotides) under uncultured bacterium. RNAcentral's name for it is "partial 16S ribosomal RNA". It matches the Rfam family "Bacterial small subunit ribosomal RNA", at positions 338 to 795 of the family's 1533-position model. The record is from RNAcentral.